UACGGGGGGGGCAAGCGUUGUUCGGAAUUACUGGGCGUAAAGGGCUCGUAGUCGGCCAACUAAGUCAGACGUGAAAUCCCUCAGCUUAACUGGGGAACUGCGUCUGAUACUGGAUGGCUUGAGUUUGGGAGAGGGAUGCGGAAUUCCAGGUGUAGCGGUGAAAUGCGUAGAUAUCGGGAGGAACACCAGUGGCGAAGGCGACUUCCUGGCCUGUUCUUGACGCUGAGGCGCGAAAGCUAGGGUAGCAAACGGG
RNAcentral lists this ribosomal RNA (253 nucleotides) under uncultured bacterium. RNAcentral's name for it is "partial 16S ribosomal RNA". It matches the Rfam family "Bacterial small subunit ribosomal RNA", at positions 524 to 776 of the family's 1533-position model. The record is from RNAcentral.